RNAcentral lists this ribosomal RNA (119 nucleotides) under Alligator mississippiensis (American alligator). Lineage: Eukaryota; Metazoa; Chordata; Crocodylia; Alligatoridae. The record is from RNAcentral.
CAUUAUGGCCAGAUUGGACUGAUUGUACCCAAUCCUGUCUGAUCUUGGAAACUAAGCAGUUCUGGGCCUGGCUACUACCUGGAUGGAAGACUGCCCAGGAAUCCUGGGUGCCUCACCAA